GCCGGCGUAGCUCAGUUGGCAGAGCAGCUGUUUUGUAAACAGCAGGUCAUCGGUUCGAACCCGGUCGCCGGCU
RNAcentral lists this transfer RNA (73 nucleotides) under Salinisphaera shabanensis E1L3A. It matches the Rfam family "tRNA". From Rfam's summary of the family: Transfer RNA (tRNA) molecules are approximately 80 nucleotides in length. Their secondary structure includes four short double-helical elements and three loops (D, anti-codon, and T loops). Lineage: Bacteria; Pseudomonadati; Pseudomonadota; Gammaproteobacteria; Salinisphaerales; Salinisphaeraceae. The record is from Rfam by way of RNAcentral.